RNAcentral lists this ribosomal RNA (313 nucleotides) under uncultured Xanthonema. RNAcentral's name for it is "SSU rRNA". It matches the Rfam family "Eukaryotic small subunit ribosomal RNA", at positions 20 to 319 of the family's 1831-position model. Lineage: Eukaryota; Xanthophyceae; Tribonematales; Xanthonemataceae. The record is from RNAcentral.
GUAGUCAUAUGCUUGUCUCAAAGAUUAAGCCAUGCAUGUCUAAGUAUAAGCGCCUUAUACUGUGAAACUGCGAAUGGCUCAUUAUAUCAGUAAUAGUUUAUUUGAUGGUCCCUUACUACCUGGAUACCCGUAGUAAUUCUAGAGCUAAUACAUGCACUACGGUCCCAACUGCACCAUCGGGUGCGGGCGGGAUGCCUUUAUUAGAUUGAAACCAAUGCGGCGCAAGCCGGUGUUGUGGUGACUCAUGAUAACAUAGCGAAUAGCAUGCCCCUCGUGGGCGGCGAUGUUUCAUUCAAGUUUCUGCCCUAUCAGC